Molecule: long non-coding RNA, 843 nt
Filed under: Vulpes vulpes (red fox)
Lineage: Eukaryota; Metazoa; Chordata; Mammalia; Carnivora; Canidae
Description: lncRNA (ENSVVUG00000004102.1)
Source: RNAcentral
AUUUAAUGUGCAGAUUUGGGAGGGAUUUUUAAAAUUCAUAAUAAUGCCAGCAGAUUAGAAUUAUUUUUCCUUUCACAGUUUCUGAGCCAUGGACCAGCAGAGUAUCUGGUGCUGUUAGAGCCUGGAGAAGGAGGCAGGAGAUGGGAGCCUGUAGCCUCUCAGGUAUGAGAAGAUGUGUAUGUUCUUCCUGGAUCAUGCUGGGAAGUGGGACUGGAGCUGCUCUGCCAUUAUCCCCAGCCACCUGCUCCUUCCAGUCACCUGGGAGUGCUAAAAUCAUAGAGUCGAGGAUGACACCCUCACUCCCCUCACUUAAGGCAUGGCUGUGUCUACAGAGCAGAAUGAGCUCUAGAAGAAAAAGGAGGAUACAUUGUGAGGAGAAGUCCGAUGAAGCAUGUGGAAAAAGUUUAACCUCCACUAGUGCAAUCCUCUGCAUUUGCCAAUGGCCAGACCAAGACUCAGAGAGACAAUGAUUGGUUCAGACUCAAACUUCAGCAAAGCCAUAUCUGGAACUCGAUGACUGGGCUAGAAGUUUCUUAUAAACUUUGAAGCUCUCUGAAAUGUGUGCUCUAUAUCACCCAACCUGUCUGCUGGUCAGACAUGGAAUGGAUACCACAAUCUGAGUCAGAAGCCCUGAGUUCAAGCCCCUCCACUGUCACUAAGCAGCAUAUGAUGUGUGACAAGGUACUCGCUGUUGUAAGCCUCAGUCUCCUUAACUGGGAAGUGGAUGCUCCUACUUCCCAGCCUUGCUGGAUUAAAGGAGAUCAUGAUGCAGACACACUCUGUAGGUUGAGAAGCACUUAACAUCAUUAUUAUCAUUACCAUCAAAAUAUAUUCUAAGGGGAU